UACGAAGGGGGCUAGCGUUGUUCGGAAUUACUGGGCGUAAAGGGCGCGUAGGCGGCUCGUCAAGUCAGGCGUGAAAGCCCCGGGCUUAACCUGGGAUGUGCGCUUGAGACUGGCGGGCUUGAGUUCGGGAGAGGAUGGUGGAAUUCCCAGUGUAGAGGUGAAAUUCGUAGAUAUUGGGAAGAACACCGGUGGCGAAGGCGGCCAUCUGGACCGACACUGACGCUGAGGCGCGAAAGCGUGGGGAGCAAACAGG
This 253-nucleotide ribosomal RNA is filed under the name uncultured Skermanella sp. Its description in RNAcentral is "partial 16S ribosomal RNA". It matches the Rfam family "Bacterial small subunit ribosomal RNA", at positions 524 to 776 of the family's 1533-position model. The record is from RNAcentral. Lineage: Bacteria; Pseudomonadati; Pseudomonadota; Alphaproteobacteria; Rhodospirillales; Azospirillaceae.